Molecule: ribosomal RNA, 504 nt
Filed under: uncultured bacterium
Lineage: Bacteria
Description: partial 16S ribosomal RNA
Rfam family: Bacterial small subunit ribosomal RNA
Source: RNAcentral
GAUGAACGCUAGCGACAGGCCUAACACAUGCAAGUCGAGGGGCAGCACAUGAGUAGCAAUACGAUGGUGGCGACCGGCGCACGGGUGAGUAUCGCGUAUGCAACCUACCUUCCACAGGGGGAUAGCCUUCCGAAAGGGAGAUCAAUACCGCAUAAAACAGGGGCCCCGCAUGGGGAUACUUGUUAAAGAUUUAUCGGUGGGAGAUGGGCAUGCGUUCCAUUAGCUAGUUGGCGGGGUAAUGGCCCACCAAGGCAUCGAUGGAUAGGGGAACUGAGAGGUUUAUCCCCCACACGGGAACUGAGACACGGUCCAGACUCCUACGGGAGGCAGCAGUGAGGAAUAUUGGUCAAUGGGCGGGAGCCUGAACCAGCCAAGUCGCGUGAAGGAAGACGGUUCUAUGGAUUGUAAACUUCUUUUGCACUGGGGUAAAACGGGGGACGUGUCCCCCCUUGCAAGUACAGUGCGAAUAAGCAUCGGCUAACUCCGUGCCAGCCGCCGCGGUAA